This 610-nucleotide ribosomal RNA is filed under the name uncultured bacterium. RNAcentral describes it as "bacterial SSU rRNA". It matches the Rfam family "Bacterial small subunit ribosomal RNA", at positions 338 to 956 of the family's 1533-position model. The record is from RNAcentral.
CCUACGGGAGGCAGCAGUAGGGAAUAUUGGGCAAUGGAGGCAACUCUGACCCAGCCAUGCCGCGUGCAGGAUGAAGGCGUUAUGCGUUGUAAACUGCUUUUAUAUAGGAAGAAAUAGACCUUGCGAGGUAAGUUGACGGUACUAUAUGAAUAAGCACCGGCUAACUCCGUGCCAGCAGCCGCGGUAAUACGGAGGGUGCAAGCGUUGUCCGGAUUUAUUGGGUUUAAAGGGUGCGUAGGCGGUUUAUUAAGUCAGUGGUGAAAGACGGUCGCUCAACGAUUGCAGUGCCAUUGAUACUGGUAGACUUGAGUGUGAUUGAGGUAGCUGGAAUGGAUAGUGUAGCGGUGAAAUGCAUAGAUAUUAUCCAGAACACCAAUUGCGUGGGCAAGUUACUAAGUCACAACUGACGCUGAGGCACGAAAGUGUGGGUAUCAAACAGGAUUAGAUACCCUGGUAGUCCACACUGUAAACGAUGAUAACUAACUGUUGGCUUUUGGGUCAGUGGUACAGAGAAAUCGUUAAGUUAUCCACCUGGGGAGUACGCCGGCAACGGUGAAACGUCAAAUGAAAUUGACCGGNNGAGAGAGCGAGGACGACGACGAGGGAGAGG